This is a long non-coding RNA of Xenia sp. Carnegie-2017, 4704 nucleotides long. RefSeq lists it as uncharacterized. The record is from RefSeq and is a predicted model, not a curated record. Lineage: Eukaryota; Metazoa; Cnidaria; Anthozoa; Malacalcyonacea; Xeniidae. The transcript is spliced from 10 exons.
CUGUCAAUCAUUCAUUAAUAUUUUGCUUUGCUCAAUUCUCAACGGAAACCCAAAUAUUUCAAUGUGAAUACUUCGUCAGGCUAUAGUGUUGGUGAAGGAGGAGCAUUCAUCAAACACUCGAAUGAAUAAUAAUUCUUUUCUACGGUAAAUUCAAGCAUCAUCGAAAAAACAUGCAACGAUAUAGACCAACACUUUGAAACCACGCCGACAUUCGUGCCGACAAAUGCAAAUAUAAUCGAAAUUUACGUGUUUCACCCUGAUUGCCGACUGACAACUUUACAAAUAUUUAGUCACGCGAUUAUAUCUAACGCGACACAAAGACAAACACACGGGGCGCAGCAGCGGAUUGUUUAUUAAAGAAGCUGAAAUCUACGGUAAAAAAAAUCAAAAUGCUUGCGCCCGAGGACCGUUCAAUACUUCUGCUGUUUAUCUCAUGGUGUCUUGUCGGACUCAAUGUUACAAUUGCCAGUGAUUGCAACGCCAUGAAAGGAUCAAAUGUUGAACUUAUUAUAUGGUAUGAUCAAAUAGCGGAAGUAGCAUGGUCUGGAGUCAUUCCAAAUGCUUCAUAUAAAGUAGAGGCUUGUGGAGGAACCAAUUUGCCUUCUGACAUGCAUCACCUUGUUCAUUAUCCAAUAUGUCCCAAAAUGGCUCUUUUGACAAAUUGCCGCAACUACCCAUUUAAAGUAAAUGGAAUAAUCUGCACUAUUUCACGUAACAGCAUUACCUUAGGGGAAGAUGUUGAAGCAAAGUUUGAAAUUACAGCGCCGGGCUGUCCAGUGGAGGUGAAAUAUUUGAAAUUAAAUGUGACCAUUAAAGAUUCUAGAGCACGUCCUGUGAGUAAUCUUCAGGUAGUUGAAAACAAGGAGGCCUUUCAUUGACAUGGAAACACAAGUCACUCAAGCAUAACCAUGAUCAUAUUCGUUAUUUCUAUGUUGUCAAGGAGAUUAUAAACUCAACAAAUUCCAUUCUGUUGGAAAAGAGGAGAUCCCGUCGAAGAGUCUCAAGCACUUGUUGUGCUGCCUCUGGAUCAUGCUUUCAAGCUUUAUGAGUUCUGUGUCAAUGCACAAAUUGGCGUGGGUAAAAAAACAGUUGUCAGAUCCAAACUAUCGCCGGACAGAUGUAUCCGAAAACGGCUAGCUUCUAAAGAGCCAUCCAAACCUUUAAAGAUUCUUUGUGGAGUGCCCGGAGAGAUGAAAGCUGUAAGGAAGAAAAGAACGAAACUCAUCGCAAUGUUACAUUACUUUGGCAGCUACCGGACAAAAAGUUUUGGCAUGGACUCCCCACCGUCAUUAAAGUGGCGGUGAACGUCGAGAGCAAGGAAAAGAACGCCACCGAAGUGUUUAAUGUCAGCGCGACAAGAACCAACUGGACUUUAAUGAAUCUAAAACGUGAUGCAAAGUAUUACAUUCAACUGACAUUUUUUCGGAUGGUGGAGAUGGUCCAACAAGCAAAUAUCUGGUGAUAUUUGAAGAUGAGCCAACAGUUUCCCCAACUUCCGUCAAAGAAGAUGAUAACAUGGAUCGGACAAGAUUAGCUGUAAUUACAACUGCAACAGUGAUUGGAGUUCUUAUACUCGUCGUGAUAUUUUCGUGCUGUUACAUAAAGUCGAAAAAACUUUCCAAGCCUGCGACUUUGCCUGUGCUACAACCGCCUGAAAAAUCCACUGGUCGUUCUGGUACAGCUGAUAAUCUGUUGAUGAAUCAUGUCGAUUAUGAUUUUCUUAUGGUGAACGAUCCGCCAAUCGGAGCAUAUCUCGCCAAGUCGCAGUCCAAUGGCAGGCUAUCGUAUGACGAGAAUAAAUCAACGGAUAGCAGCAUUGUGACGAGUUCCUCGUCAACGUUCGACGAAUCCAGGCAAAGUAUGGGAAGUGAUGACGUCGGUGAAACAGCUGGGAUGCGAAAGGACCUUUGAUGAUGCCCAGGUACAACUACGGUGUAGGUAGUAUAUAUUAUGUUCAUACUGUUUUGUUAUAGAAGUUGAAAUUUUCACAGUUUAUCAAGAAACAUCCACAUGUAUGUUGUAGCAACAACCGUGAUGAACGUACGUAUGAAGAGAUGUUGUUGCCAAGUGUGUGGAAUUGAGGAUUCAUCUUCCUGAGCCGACAUGGGCUUUUUUCAUGUCAGGAAGAAUAAUCCUCGCACACUUCCAAAACACAUACCAAUUUGCGAGAAAUGUUUGUGUGAAGUGUAAUUGCACAACACAGGUCCAACAUCAUUCAUGAAUAUACCAAAAUUUGCUCAACAUGACAUAUGUCUUUUGGCUAACCGAAAAGAUUUUAAUCGUUACUCAACAAUGUGUUGAGCUUCUACGUUUAGAAAUAUUUUCAAAAUAUAACUGACAAAAACGUUUAAGUGAGGUUUUUCGACUCUUGUCGAUUGCCCAACAACGUUUGCUCUGUACUUCUACGUAUAUGUAUUUACGUCACACACGUCAUGUCGGAUGUUGUUUUUUUUGAUAAAAAGGGAAAUAAUCAAUGCUAGUAAUGAUAAAAUAUAUAAUCUGAUUUAUUCGUUGGCAAUGCCACAUGUUGCGUUUUUAUGAACUAGAUGUAUUUUAACUUCCAUUCUACGGUCCCGUAUUUAAAGCUAUCAUUUUAGUUUUAAGCACGCGUUGAAAUACAUCCUGAUUGUAAAGGCGCAACAUGGCAUGUCUCAACAGCAUUUAUUAACAAAGGAAUUGUUUACGACUCACAUGAUGUAGCCGGAAGUCGUAAUUGCAUGCUUCGAUACAUAAUCUGUGGUAAUGGUAGAAACCGUGAACCACGGGCCUGGUUGUACAAACGUCAAAAUGUGUUAAUGAAACAUUAUUCUACGUGUUUAUUAAUAUGAAUUCUAAAGAAAUUUUUCGUGUAUCAGAACAUCCUCUAACGCAAAUUUCAAAAAACAGAUUCAUCUAAACUACAAACACAUUUAAACAACAGACAGUCAGUGUGGUUUAACAGUUGCUAAUCUCAUUAUUGAUACAUUUAAACAUUGUAUUGUCUGUUUGGUACGUUAAGGUUAAGUUGCAGUCUAAACUUCUUGUUUUCUCACGUUGUGGAAGCAUACAGGUUUUGACGUUUGUACUUACUAGCCCAGGAACGCAUGUUUUGAAAGAUGAUGUCCGCCUUCUUGAGAUGAUCCUUCAAUAAACAUGCGCUCUUUUAACGUCAUUUUUUUUUUUUAACGAUUAAGUUCCAGUCAUUUUUUUCCACGUCAGCUUCGGCCAACUUUAGCAUAUAGAGUGUUUGCAUGUGACGUCAUGGCAGCCAUGUUGGAGCCUACAUCAACGUACCGAUGCUCAACAGAGCAUGAAAUUAUCAUGAAUUCUUUUCACUAUAUGAGACUUUCCUCCAACAUGGCUACCGAUGCAAAUACCUUAUAGAGAGAAAUGAUCAUCAAAUUGUUUGCAAUUCGCAUCAAAAAUUGACGAAAUUUCAUUGAUUUGACACAAGAUAAGAUAUUAUCUUUUUGCCAUAAUAUAAAACAUACGCGAGAAUUCAAUGGACACGUAUGCUCUACGUUGGGGACUUGGAACUGUGGAUGUGGGACGCCGAGAGCAAACAGACUCUUCAUAUUACAGUUAAUAAGUACCAAUUGACUUGGUUUCUAGAAGGUGUUUUCAACGCACUUGAGACGGUUUCUUAUUGAAUUGACCUACAAUGUCAACCACUGCCAGCUCCGAGUAGGAGUCAUUUUACUUUAACUACCCUAUGGUAAAUUUUAUAAGAAUGUUUUGGAAAUUUUGUCACUUGCAAACGCUCAGUUCAAGUCUCUCUGCGAUGAUCCUACCCUGUGUCGAUAUCUGUCCGCUUCUUUACUCCUGCUGCUCAAAUAUAUUUAGUUUGUUCACUCAUUUCAUAAACAAUGAAUAUGAAACAAUGAAUAUGAAACAAUGAAUGAAUUUUUAAUGAAAUGAAAGUAGAUUUCUUGAAACAUUUGCUAAGCAGGAGUAAAAGCUCAGGCAGGCAUCGUCCUUUGCCCUGCAUCUAGUUUUCAAAAUGAGCAAGUCCUUGAAACUAGCUUUUUAUUGUAGUUUUAUAUGUUAUUAUAAUUAAGAGUAUGCGUACCUGGUAUUUUUAUUGCUUUGUGAUAACAAUCGUCGAAAUUAUCAGAAAUACAUUGUGACGUCACUAGGCUCAACCACAAUGUUACCCAAUGAGCUUGUCUGUUACAUCAUUAUGUGACCUGAUAGUUUUUUUGAUUUGUUCAAGGAAAGAAAUCUCAGCUACUGCAUGCAUUACUAUAUUAUAACAUAAUUAAAUUACGUGGCAGAAUUUUUUUAAAAACUUUUAGAUAUAGUAAGAAAUGCUUGCAAAUAUAGAUGAUCAAAUGUUUUGUUGGACGAUGGCUCAUAUUUUAGGAAGCAGUUGUUCCGAGGUUGCUGAACUUAUUCCUGAAUUUGACACUCGUAGACAACUUUAUCAAAUUAAAAUGGUUAUAUAUAGAGGUUUUUAACGCUUGUAAAACAGCUCAUUUCCGAACUCGACUAACACGUCAUUGUUUUGGAAUCGAAGAAUUUCUCGGGUACAAGUACCCAAGACAAUUGUAUAUCUAGCAAAAUCGUAGUUUGCCACAUGUGUCAUUUCUGAAUGUCUCUUAUCAACCUUGGAGCAACUGACUCAGUUCGCUGUUUUUAACAUGUAUAAACCUAGUGAUGUUACACACUUGGUGUAGUUUUUCGUUGAUAGCGUACAGAAACAAUAAAACAUUGGGAAUAUUAUGA